RNAcentral lists this ribosomal RNA (253 nucleotides) under uncultured bacterium. RNAcentral's name for it is "partial 16S ribosomal RNA". It matches the Rfam family "Bacterial small subunit ribosomal RNA", at positions 524 to 776 of the family's 1533-position model. The record is from RNAcentral.
GACAGAGGGUGCAAACGUUUUUCGGAAUUACUGGGCGUAAAGCGCGUGUAGGCUGUCGUGCAAGUCGGGUGUGAAAGCCCAGGGCUCAACCCUGGAAGUGCACUCGAAACUGCAAGACUUGAAUCUCGGAGAGGGUAGCGGAAUUCUGGGUGUAGAGGUGAAAUUCGUAGAUAUCCAGAGGAACACCGGUGGCGAAGGCGGCUACCUGGACGAGUAUUGGCGCUGAGACGCGAAAGUGCGGGGAGCAAACAGG